RNAcentral lists this ribosomal RNA (411 nucleotides) under uncultured bacterium. RNAcentral describes it as "bacterial SSU rRNA". It matches the Rfam family "Bacterial small subunit ribosomal RNA", at positions 29 to 423 of the family's 1533-position model. The record is from RNAcentral.
AACGAACGCUGGCGGCGUGCCUAACACAUGCAAGUCGUGCGAGAAAGUUCCUUCGGGAGCGAGUAAAGCGGCGCACGGGUGAGUAACACGUAGGUAACCUGCCCCCCAGUCUGGAACAACUAGAGGAAACUCUAGCUAAUGCCGGAUGAGACCACGAUCCCUUCGGGGGGUUGCGGCCAAAGAUGGCCUCUACUUGUAAGCUAUCGCUGAGGGAUGGGCCUGCGGGCCAUUAGCUUGUUGGUGAGGUAACGGCUCACCAAGGCUGUGAUGGCUAGCUGGUCUGAGAGGAUGACCAGCCACACUGGGACUGAGACACGGCCCAGACUCCUACGGGAGGCAGCAGUGGGGAAUAUUGCGCAAUGGGCGAAAGCCUGACGCAGCGACGCCGCGUGGUGAUGAAGGCCUGUCGGU